Molecule: ribosomal RNA, 273 nt
Filed under: uncultured bacterium
Lineage: Bacteria
Description: partial 16S ribosomal RNA
Rfam family: Bacterial small subunit ribosomal RNA
Source: RNAcentral
UACGGAGGGUGCAAGCGUUAUCCGGAUUCAUUGGGUUUAAAGGGUGCGCAGGCGGAUAUUUAAGUCAGUGGUGAAAUCCCGGGGCUCAACCUCGGAACUGCCAUUGAUACUGAAUAUCUGGAAUACGGUUGAAGUGGGCGGAAUGUAGCAUGUAGCGGUGAAAUGCAUAGAGAUGCUACAGAACACCGAUCGCGAAGGCAGCUCACUAAGCCGAUAUUGACGCUCAGGCACGAAAGCGUGGGGAGCGAACAGAAUUAGAUACCCUAGUAGUCC